This 404-nucleotide unclassified non-coding RNA is filed under the name soil metagenome. RNAcentral describes it as "partial contains 5.8S ribosomal RNA, internal transcribed spacer 2, and large subunit ribosomal RNA". The stretch from base 2 to 122 matches the Rfam family "5.8S ribosomal RNA", at positions 35 to 154 of the family's 154-position model. The record is from RNAcentral.
AGAUGAAGAACGUAGCGAAAUGCGAUAAGUAAUGUGAAUUGCAGAAUUCAGUGAAUCAUCGAAUCUUUGAACGCACCUUGCGCCCUUUGGCUAUUCCGAAGGGCGUGCCUGUUUGAGUAUCAUGAACACCUCAACUCUUCACGGCUUGCCGUGAUGAGUUUGGACUUUGGGGGUCUUGCUGGCCUACGAGCCAGCUCCUCUCAAAUGUAUUAGCUUGCCGGUGUUUGGUGGCAUCACAGGUGUGAUAACUAUCUACGCUUGUGGUUUUCCACUAGGUAACCUUCAGCAAUGGAGGUUCACCGGAGCUCACAAAUGUCUCUCCUUGCCAAGGACAGAUUUUGACCAUUUGAUCUCAAAUCAGGUAGGACUACCCGCUGAACUUAAGCAUAUCAAUAAGCGGAGGA